This is a non-coding RNA of Acanthosepion pharaonis, 102 nucleotides long. The record is from the annotation of a GenBank genome assembly. Lineage: Eukaryota; Metazoa; Mollusca; Cephalopoda; Sepiida; Sepiidae.
UAUGGUCAUAUCACAUUGAAACACCAGUUUUCAUCCAAUCACCAAAGUUAAGCAAUGUUGAGUUAGGUUAGUACUUAGAUGGAUGACCACUUGGGAAUACCA